CAUGCCGUAAACGAUGAGUGCUAGGUGUUGGAGGGUUUCCGCCCUUCAGUGCCGGAGCUAACGCAUUAAGCACUCCGCCUGGGGAGUACGACCGCAAGGUUGAAACUCAAAGGAAUUGACGGGGGCCCGCACAAGCGGUGGAGCAUGUGGUUUAAUUCGAAGCUACGCGAAGAACCUUACCAGGUCUUGACAUCUUGCGCUAACCUUAGAGAUAAGGCGUUCCCUUCGGGGACGCAAUGACAGGUGG
RNAcentral lists this ribosomal RNA (247 nucleotides) under uncultured bacterium. Its description in RNAcentral is "partial 16S ribosomal RNA". It matches the Rfam family "Bacterial small subunit ribosomal RNA", at positions 796 to 1041 of the family's 1533-position model. The record is from RNAcentral. RNAcentral also lists the same sequence under 1 other name.